This 1390-nucleotide long non-coding RNA is filed under the name Populus tremula. Its description in RNAcentral is "long non-coding RNA (PTRE_LNC003306)". Lineage: Eukaryota; Viridiplantae; Streptophyta; Magnoliopsida; Malpighiales; Salicaceae. The record is from RNAcentral.
ACCCGAAACUAGCCGUUGCCCCUGGCCCAAGACCAUUAUUUAAUCCCUCUCUUUCGGCUAAAAAUGAUGAGCUCAGCCCCACCCAUGGUCUUCUUUUCCUUGUUUCCCGCCGACAUGGUGACCCUCCUCAUAAUAUAAACAACCCAUAUUUCUUCUCAUUACCAGCUUUGGAAAAAAAAAAAAUAUUGAAGCCAUUUUCGCCGGGCCCCGGCAGUAGUGGGCAGGCUAGAGGGAGCCCCUUCACACUCAUUUUUUUGCUUCUCCCUCCCGGCCAUUUUUUUUUGCUUUCUUAGCCGAAGCCACCGAACAGCCCCUCCCCCGUUUGGUUUUUGAAUUUUUCUCCCCGAUUUUUCUUCUCCUGAAGCAAGACAGCAGCCACCCUUGUAUUUUUGGACACCGGCCAAACAGUCCCUUCCCCCCAAACCGCCGCUCAUUUUUUUUCUUUCUUUUCUUCCUUCCCCUCCGGGCGAUUCCACCGCCAGCCUCUCCUCCAGCGCUGCCCCCUCACAAAUCCACCACAGCAGCCCCUCACCAGAAUCUCCUUCAUCGCAGCCCCCAUCUCCCCGUCAUCUUCCCUUUCGGCCUGCACACAGAGCCGCUGCUCCUUCUCCCCUCAGCCACGGUCUCCUAGCUUCCCUUCAAUCGGCCACAAAACCCGCGGUCAUCUUCACAGCCACCGUGGAACAGCCGCCUCCAGCAUUUCCUUCCUUCAGCAACAACAUCAGCACCGACACCACCCCCAGAUCGCCCAAGAGGAGUGAAGAUCGGACCGCCGUACCCUCUCCAUCGCAGCUCCACCGUAGCCAUCACAGGCCACCAGCAGCUACACGGCGGUCGACAGCAUCUCACCCCCAGCUCCGCUGCCACCUGAAACAAAGAAGGACGAGACAGCAAAGGAUGGGAAACCGAUCUGCAAAGAGAGAAGCAGAUCUGCAAAACAAAAAAAUUAAAACCCGAUUGCUGUUUGUGAGUUCUUUUUGUUGUUGCAGGUGGCGGUGAUCUUCACCGCCGGCGUUGGGAGGCUGAGAAGAGGGAGUCGAUCCAGCCCCCUUGCUGUUGGGUUUUCUUGAGGCGGCGCGUGGACCCACGCGCCGCCAGUGGCGUUGGUGCGUGGAUCCACGCGCCGGAACUGUUCACGCAGCCCCAGGAGUCCUUCCCUGUAAUUUCUGGAGUUUUUAGGGGCCAUUUUGUAAAUUUUAAAGUUUUAAUGUAAUUUUUGUUUAUUUAUUUUAAAUUUGUAAUAUGUGAAUGUAAAAGAAAAAAAGAAAAUAAAUAAUAAAAAGAGAUGUGUGCUUGUUUGUAUUUUUAUUUAUGUUAUUAAUUUGUAAAAACAAAAGAAGGACAAAAAGAAUUAAUUGUUAAUUUAAAUAUGGUUAAAUAUCUCAAGGAC